This 262-nucleotide ribosomal RNA is filed under the name uncultured bacterium. RNAcentral's name for it is "partial 16S ribosomal RNA". It matches the Rfam family "Bacterial small subunit ribosomal RNA", at positions 793 to 1055 of the family's 1533-position model. The record is from RNAcentral.
GUCCACGCGGUAAACGAUGUGUGCUAGGGGUAUGGCCCGUAGGGGUUAUGCGCCGCAGCUAACGCUUAAGCACACCGCCUGGGGAGUACGGCCGCAAGGCUAAAACUCAAAGGAAUUGACGGGGGCCCGCACAAGCAGCGGAGCGUGUGGUUUAAUUCGAUGCAACGCGAAGAACCUUACCUGGGUUUGACAUGCUGGUGGUAGGGAGGGGAAACCUGACCGACCCGCAAGGGAGCCAGCACAGGUGCUGCAUGGCUGUCGU